RNAcentral lists this ribosomal RNA (701 nucleotides) under uncultured bacterium. RNAcentral's name for it is "bacterial SSU rRNA". It matches the Rfam family "Bacterial small subunit ribosomal RNA", at positions 94 to 797 of the family's 1533-position model. The record is from RNAcentral.
AGCGGCGGACGGGUGAGUAAUGCAUAGGAAUCUACCCGAUAGUGGGGGAUAACCUGGGGAAACCCAGGCUAAUACCGCAUACGUCCUACGGGAGAAAGGGGGCUCCGGCUCCCGCUAUGGGAUGAGCCUAUGUCGGAUUAGCUAGUUGGUGAGGUAACGGCUCACCAAGGCGACGAUCCGUAGCUGGUCUGAGAGGAUGAUCAGCCACAUCGGGACUGAGACACGGCCCGAACUCCUACGGGAGGCAGCAGUGGGGAAUAUUGGACAAUGGGGGAAACCCUGAUCCAGCCAUGCCGCGUGUGUGAAGAAGGCCCUCGGGUUGUAAAGCACUUUCAGCGAGGAAGAACGCCUAGCGGUUAAUACUCGCUAGGAAAGACAUCACUCGCAGAAGAAGCACCGGCUAACUCCGUGCCAGCAGCCGCGGUAAUACGGAGGGUGCAAGCGUUAAUCGGAAUUACUGGGCGUAAAGCGCGCGUAGGUGGCUUGAUAAGCCGGUUGUGAAAGCCCCGGGCUCAACCUGGGAACGGCAUCCGGAACUGUCAAGCUAGAGUGCAGGAGAGGAAGGUAGAAUUCCCGGUGUAGCGGUGAAAUGCGUAGAGAUCGGGAGGAAUACCAGUGGCGAAGGCGGUCUUCUGGACUGACACUGACACUGAGGUGCGAAGCGUGGGUUAGCAAACAGGAUUAGAUACCCUGGUAGUCCC